This 460-nucleotide ribosomal RNA is filed under the name uncultured bacterium. Its description in RNAcentral is "partial 16S ribosomal RNA". It matches the Rfam family "Bacterial small subunit ribosomal RNA", at positions 338 to 795 of the family's 1533-position model. The record is from RNAcentral.
GCUACGGGUGGCAGCAGUGAGGAAUAUUGGUCAAUGGGCGCGAGCCUGAACCAGCCAAGUCGCGUGAGGGAUGAAGGUUCUAUGGAUCGUAAACCUCUUUUAUAAGGGAAUAAAGUGUGGGACGUGUCCUAUUUUGUAUGUACCUUAUGAAUAAGGAUCGGCUAACUCCGUGCCAGCAGCCGCGGUAAUACGGAGGAUCCGAGCGUUAUCCGGAUUUAGUGGGUUUAACGGGUGCGUAGGCGGCCUUUUAAGUCAGCGGUGAAAGUCUGUGGCUCAACCAUAGAAUUGCCGUUGAAACUGGGGGGCUUGAGUAUGUUUGAGGCAGGCGGAAUGCGUGGUGUAGCGGUGAAAUGCUUAGAUAUCACGAAGAACCCCGAUUGCGAAGGCAGCUUACUAAACUGUGACUGACAUUGAUGCUCGAAAGUGUGGGUAUCAAACAGGAUUAGAUACCCUUGUAGUC